GCGGUUUGGUACGUCGGGCGUGAAAACUCAGGGCUCAACCCUGAGCGUGCGUCCGAUACGGGCAGACUAGAGGUAUGCAGGGGAGAACGGAAUUCCUGGUGUAGCGGUGGAAUGCGCAGAUAUCAGGAGGAACACCGGUGGCGAAGGCGGUUCUCUGGGCAUUACCUGACGCUGAGGAGCGAAAGCAUGGGGAGCGAA
This 198-nucleotide ribosomal RNA is filed under the name uncultured bacterium. RNAcentral's name for it is "partial 16S ribosomal RNA". It matches the Rfam family "Bacterial small subunit ribosomal RNA", at positions 575 to 772 of the family's 1533-position model. The record is from RNAcentral.